RNAcentral lists this unclassified non-coding RNA (253 nucleotides) under plant metagenome. RNAcentral describes it as "partial contains small subunit ribosomal RNA, internal transcribed spacer 1, and 5.8S ribosomal RNA". The stretch from base 205 to 253 matches the Rfam family "5.8S ribosomal RNA", at positions 1 to 49 of the family's 154-position model. The record is from RNAcentral.
UUUCCGUAGGUGAACCUGCGGAAGGAUCAUUAUUGGAUUUUGAAACUUCAGGCUGCUGCUGGCUCUCCUCGGAGGGCAUAUGCACGCUUGUUGUCCAUUAUUUCUCCCACUGUGCACAAAUUGUAGACCUUUCAGUAGGCCUAUGUUGUUUUUCACAAUCUCUGAAUGUAAUAGAAUGGUUUUGAAUCUUGGGAAAUACAAUACAACUUUCAGCAACGGAUCUCUUGGCUCUCGCAUCGAUGGAGAACGCAGC